RNAcentral lists this unclassified non-coding RNA (241 nucleotides) under Glomus sp. Its description in RNAcentral is "partial contains 5.8S ribosomal RNA and internal transcribed spacer 2". The stretch from base 1 to 72 matches the Rfam family "5.8S ribosomal RNA", at positions 84 to 154 of the family's 154-position model. The record is from RNAcentral. Lineage: Eukaryota; Fungi; Glomeromycota; Glomeromycetes; Glomerales; Glomeraceae.
GUGAAUCAUCGAAUUUUUGAACGCAAAUUGCACUCUCCGGUUUUCCGGGAGAGUAUGCCUGUUUGCGGGUCUGUUUAAAAAAUAAUCGAGGCUGCUGCGGUGGUGGCGCUCCGGAAUUGGGUCAUCUUCCCCCUUUCGGGGUUGUAAGCGCCCUAAAAUUUUUCUUACGAUUUUUCCGAACGUGUCAAAGAAUUUUUCUUGUACGUUCGCGACUUCGAAAUCAUAUUAGGGCCGCCCGCCG